This 433-nucleotide ribosomal RNA is filed under the name uncultured bacterium. RNAcentral describes it as "partial 16S ribosomal RNA". It matches the Rfam family "Bacterial small subunit ribosomal RNA", at positions 29 to 507 of the family's 1533-position model. The record is from RNAcentral.
AACGAACGCUGGCGGCAUGCCUAACACAUGCAAGUCGAACGAUCCCUUCGGGGAUAGUGGCGCACGGGUGCGUAACGCGUGGGAACCUGCCCUUAGGUUCGGAAUAACUCAGAGAAAUUUGAGCUAAUACCGGAUAAUGUCUUCGGACCAAAGAUUUAUCGCCUUUGGAUGGGCCCGCGUUGGAUUAGCUAGUUGGUGGGGUAAAGGCCUACCAAGGCGACGAUCCAUAGCUGGUCUGAGAGGAUGAUCAGCCACACUGGGACUGAGACACGGCCCAGACUCCUACGGGAGGCAGCAGUGGGGAAUAUUGGACAAUGGGCGAAAGCCUGAUCCAGCAAUGCCGCGUGAGUGAUGAAGGCCUUAGGGUUGAAAAGCUCUUUUACCCGGGAUGAUAAUGACAGUACCGGGAGAAUAAGCCCCGGCUAACUCCGUG